GAUGAACGCUGGCGGCGUGCCUAAUACAUGCAAGUCGAGCGAACGGACGAGAAGCUUGCUUCUCUGAUGUUAGCGGCGGACGGGUGAGUAACACGUGGAUAACCUACCUAUAAGACUGGGAUAACUUCGGGAAACCGGAGCUAAUACCGGAUGAUAUUUUGAACCGCAUGGUUCAAAAGUGAAAGACGGUCUUGCUGCCACUUAUAGAUGGAUCCGCGCUGCAUUAGCUAGUUGGUAAGGUAAUGGCUUACCAAGGCAACGAUGCAUAGCCGACCUGAGAGGGUGAUCGGCCACACUGGAACUGAGACACGGUCCAGACUCCUACGGGAGGCAGCAGUAGGGAAUCUUCCGCAAUGGGCGAAAGCCUGACGGAGCAACGCCGCGUGAGUGAUGAAGGUCUUCGGAUCGUAAAACUCUGUUAUUAGGGAAGAACAUAUGUGUAAGUAACUGUGCACAUCUUGACGGUACCUAAUCAGAAAGCCACGGCUAACUACGUG
RNAcentral lists this ribosomal RNA (497 nucleotides) under uncultured bacterium. Its description in RNAcentral is "partial 16S ribosomal RNA". It matches the Rfam family "Bacterial small subunit ribosomal RNA", at positions 28 to 507 of the family's 1533-position model. The record is from RNAcentral.